RNAcentral lists this ribosomal RNA (445 nucleotides) under uncultured bacterium. Its description in RNAcentral is "partial 16S ribosomal RNA". It matches the Rfam family "Bacterial small subunit ribosomal RNA", at positions 354 to 796 of the family's 1533-position model. The record is from RNAcentral.
GUGAGGAAUAUUGGUCAAUGGACGAGAGUCUGAACCAGCCAAGUCGCGUGAAGGAAGACGGUUCUAUGAAUUGUAAACUUCUUUUGUGCAGGAAUAAAGUGGGUUACGUGUAACCUUUUGUAUGUACUGUACGAAUAAGGAUCGGCUAACUCCGUGCCAGCAGCCGCGGUAAUACGGAGGAUCCGAGCGUUAUCCGGAUUUAUUGGGUUUAAAGGGUGCGUAGGUGGAUUGAUAAGUCAGCGGUGAAAGUUUGCAGCUUAACUGCAAAAUUGCCGUUGAAACUGUCGGUCUUGAGUGCAAAUGAGGUAGGCGGAAUGUGUUGUGUAGCGGUGUAAUGCUUAGAUAUAACACAGAACUCCGAUUGCGAAGGCAGCUUACUGGGAUGCAACUGACACUGAUGCACGAAAGCGUGGGUAUCAAACAGGAUUAGAAACCCCGGUAGUCC